This is a non-coding RNA of Zootermopsis nevadensis, 1808 nucleotides long. The record is from RefSeq and is a predicted model, not a curated record. Lineage: Eukaryota; Metazoa; Arthropoda; Insecta; Blattodea; Termopsidae.
AGGUAAUAAGGUAGGCUUUGUAACAGGACAACCAACUUAAAGGAGUAUUAAAAUAAAACAAAAUUUGGACAUUAAAUAUGAUCGUGACAUUCAAAACCGCAUAUAUGUUUAUUUUAUUGGAUGACUCAGCAUGAUGAGGUGUUAAGCACAACAGAAGAGGAGGGCAUGGCAGAAAUAUCUUUGUACCGUUGCAACACACAUAAAAGUUGCUGUGUUGAAGCUCCUCAUAAUGUCCGAUAUUGAAAAAUACAGUAGGGCAGCUUCAUGCGCCGACCACGAUAUCAUCUCCCUUGAAUUGUGCCACAAGGCACCAACCUGGAUAGAACUGUGUUGGGCUUGAAGGAAAACUGGGAUUCAGUUAAUGAUAAUAGGAAGGAUUUUUAUCAUUAACAACAGCCACACGGACUAUGCAGUACACCCAUUCUUCUAGUCAGUCCUAGAGUCCUUUUUCAAAGGAUAUAUCACCUGGAGCAUGAAGAUGAUCACUCACCUCCAUCCAAUGUUGAGAAAGGGUGGAUGGAAUGUUACAUCCCUUCUUCCAGACACCUUCAAACCAUGAUCCUUAUGGAAAGAGAGAAUUUUACAUUCACCGUUACCUUAAUGAAAUGGGUAACCAAUGUCUAUUAAGGCAUGACAUCUGACACAUUGAAGGAGCCGAAAUAUCACUCAUCACAUCCUGGACUUCAAAACUGCUGAGAAUUUCUUCUUCAGUACAAUCCAUUAGGCAUCAGGACUGGAGCUAUGUAAGAGCAUGACUGCAAUACCAAUAAUAAAAGUCACAAAUUAGCAAGUAAAUUCAAAUCUACUUGAACUUACCUAAUAUGCUGUGUAUAAGAUAAGAAAGUAUGUCUUAUUAAGAAAUGAUGAUCAAAUUGUAUCUUAGUUUUAGAAUGUAAACUAGACCCAUGAAAAUUAAACAUGUCUUCAUUAUGAGUAAAGUCCGUCAGUGAAGCUGACCCCGAGUUAGGUGAAUGUAAUUUACGUUACCAGUACCAAUUUAUUAGGUCAUGUUUUACCAAUGCAUGGCACUUCCUGGGGUACCAGGAGAAGGCAUCCAGAAAUGGACAUAAGCUGGAAAUCAGGUUGGAUGCUAACAACUACUCACCAUAACAGAACUAGCAAAUUAAGAACAUUUACACAGUGCUAAUUUUUUAACUACCUGUUGGUAUAUCUGAAGGGCAUAAAUCACUAAAAGAAAGAAAGGCAACAUGCAGUAUGAGGACUAGUGUUUUAUUAAAGUGCUUGCAACAACAGAUCAGCACAUAUUUGAAAUUUUUUAGUGUACCAGCAACUUCUAGUGUCAAUGACCUCCUCUUCUGCUUUUAAAAAUUACAGCAAUUUUCAGAUACAUCUGUAAACAUUAUAAAACACUUAUGUUGAACUGUAAUAAGUAAUAUCUGCAUAAAUCACAGCAUUACGUGUCUCAUUUGAUUAUAUAAUGCAUUCCACUCUUUCUAACAAAUUGACUGUGGCCAAAUCUUUAUAGGAAAUGUUGUGCUUGAUUCUAGGAGUGGAACAUUAUCCUUAUACUUGCUACAUGUAAUUAAGAACCAAUUUUGCCAUGUACAUCUGUUCUGAACCGUUCAUGACAUUAAAUGGACAUCUCUUCCAAAAUUAAAUUCCUCAUAUAUUCAACAGACAUUUUCUUUAUGACCUGUGCGCCUUGUAGUUCAGUACAUACAUAACAAUAUCCUUUGUGUAGAUGCGUGUGUCCAUCUAUGAAUAAUACAUAUUUGAAGUCAGUAUGACUUUCCAAUCAUUUAUAAACUUCUUAAAAAAAUAAAUAAAUAAAUACAGAAUGAAUUUGA